GGCAAAUGUUUCAGUGUGCUUCAUGCUUCCCCUCUGGGAAGCCUGGGAGCAUAAUCACUGCAGAAGGUGAAAAGUGAACAGAACAUCAUACGGACCCCAGACCGUGAGCCCCCAAAGCCACGGCUGUCCUCCUUGCCUCUGGGGCUGACUCAGUGGAACUAGAUUGGCCACACCAGCCUCUGUCUUCCACUUCCUGGGUGCUGUCUGGGCUUUGGCCCCGAGAAGCCCUGGCCCUGCUCCUGAAGCUGAUCACCCCAUUUCCACCCCGUUCCAUCCUCCAGCGCACCAAAAUUCUAUCAGUGGGGAGGUCGUGGAACUCAGCGGUUUCCACCAAAAUACUAGUAUUUAUCAAAUCCAUCCAACUGUGAGAAAAUACACUGAAGAAUACACAGAGAGCCUCAAAGACUGGAGCAGGGCCGUGUGUACACAGGUUGAAAACAGUGUUUCUUGGAGACAGCGCAGAACCAGCAGUGAAUAGAAUCCACACAGCACAUUCAUCAGUGUGACCCAAUGAGCCGUGAGCCGAGCCUCAGAGUGUUCUAAGACAGAACCCUGGUGCCUGCAUUCUUGGGCACUCAAACUGGGACAGGAAAGUCACAGCAAAACAAGUUACUAAAAAGUGCCUAGGAAGUGCAAAAUUGCAAAAAGAGGUUCUGAGACAAUCUAAGAUAAAAAUCUCAACUCGGAUUCUAAUAGCUGUGAGAAUAUUAGCUGUGGCGCUGUUCAUCACAGAAACGAGAUGAUGGCCUGAAGUUUCAUUGGAACGCAGACAGCAACAAACAGCCCGAGGACGGAUUUAAUAAAGAUAAAAGCAGAAUGCGAUCAAUUACAAAUAACCAAGUGGAAGAACUGAUAAAUUAAACACUUUAUUUGAGCAAACUAAUAAACUAGACAAUGAAGGAACAGAACAGCACAAAUAUGUAAAUUAGUAAGUAAUCAGAAAUAACUCACCAAGCCUGCUGGAAAUGAAAGAAUUAAUAAGAGACUAUUUGUUUGACUCUCUAAAAGAAGUUGAAAAGUCAAGAAAAAAGGAAAAUUGUGCUAAGAAAUCUCACGAAAGUCAGCUGACUUAACACAAACAAAACACAUUGGAGUCCUUGGUGUGGAAAAUGUUUUG
This is a long non-coding RNA of Cavia porcellus (domestic guinea pig), 1117 nucleotides long. RefSeq lists it as uncharacterized. The record is from RefSeq and is a predicted model, not a curated record. Lineage: Eukaryota; Metazoa; Chordata; Mammalia; Rodentia; Caviidae. The transcript is spliced from 4 exons.